UAGUUGGUGAGGUAACGGCUCACCAAGGCGACGAUACAUAGGGGGACUGAGAGGUUAACCCCCCACAUUGGUACUGAGACACGGACCAAACUCCUACGGGAGGCAGCAGUGAGGAAUAUUGGUCAAUGGACGCAAGUCUGAACCAGCCAUGCCGCGUGCAGGAUGACGGCUCUAUGAGUUGUAAACUGCUUUUGUACGAGGGUAAACUCACCUACGUGUAGGUGACUGAAAGUAUCGUACGAAUAAGGAUCGGCUAACUCCGUGCCAGCAGCCGCGGUAAUACGGAGGAUUCAAGCGUUAUCCGGAUUUAUUGGGUUUAAAGGGUGCGUAGGCGGUUAGAUAAGUUAGAGGUGAAAUCCCGGGGCUUAACUCC
This 373-nucleotide ribosomal RNA is filed under the name uncultured bacterium. Its description in RNAcentral is "bacterial SSU rRNA". It matches the Rfam family "Bacterial small subunit ribosomal RNA", at positions 246 to 616 of the family's 1533-position model. The record is from RNAcentral.